UAAUGGAGGGUAUGAACUACUCACUCAGGGUUUAGCCAUGUAAAUGGUUAGAUCAUUGUCUCCCUCUUCAUACUCAUGUAUACCUGAGACUGUCCCCUACCAUACACACAGGGAAGUGUACCAACUUAUUACCAUGACUUCAGCCACUGAACACUAAUCUGGGCCCAGAGGAAGUUGUGAUUCACCUGCUGCGAGGAUGGGGUACCCACACUUAGUGACACCUGCAUGAUGGUGAUGCUUCUGUCUCCUUGGGCUCCGCACCGAGUCCCCAGUUCCUGCAUGCUAAGUCUGUUCUUCAGAGCACACAAUCCACUGUCAGCAUGGGACCUGAGAGAGGACAGCAUGGGUGCUGGUUACCUGCUAUUCCAAAUCCGGUGCUCUCUGGAGAAUCUUGGGUUUGUUUCUGAGCAUGGCUUGUUAGCUCAGGCUCCCGGACUUCGUGAUGUGUGCAGUCUUGUCAGAACAGUCUGGUCUUGCAGGUAAAUUUUCCUUCCAGAAGACCAAGAGCUCACGCAAAUUGGUCUGUGGUGAUCCGACUCUUUGUCCGUGUUGGUGAUUUCCAUGGGAAGAGCUGAGCUGUCAAACACAUACAGCCUGUCAAUGAGAACGACAAACCAGAAGGAAAGCGCCAAUCAGGUGCUUGGCUGUCGUAAUCAAGGAAACGAGAGAAGCAACUAAGAAUGUCUCCACAGCUGCUGUGUGAACCAAGGACUGCCCCGAGGUGUCUUGUCCUCUCCUGAUGAUGCCAGAAGCAAGUCUUGAGCCAGAAAUUCCCCUACUAAGUGACUUGGGGAGUGAAGGGAAGCAGAAUCUCGGUGGAGGGCAGAGCAUGAGGCUCUGUGUGAACGUCACAGGAUCCCGUCAUCCUCCUCACUCUGCAGAAGAGGAAAUGAGAGCAGGGCGGACAAGGGUAUCUGCCUCUCCCCAGGCCCACAGCUGCUAAGUGGUGGGAUUUUCUCUGAUGGCCAAGACCAUUUUGUAACUACUACACUCGCUAAUUUCUGCUCUAGUAGGCCAUCAAGGAGAAAAUGCCCAGAAGGUUGGAGUAAAUGCCAUUGUAACUACUAUGCUCACUAAUUUCUGCUCUAGUAGGCCAUCAAGGAGAAAAUGCCCAGAAGGUUGGAGUAAAUGCCAUCAAGUUACUUUUCUUCCUAAUGUAAUGCUUUUGGUGGAAGUUGAUUCUCUUUUUUUUUUUUUUUUUUUAGGCAAAUGUAUUUAUCCUUAUCAGAGUAGCCCUGGGAAGCUCUUAGCGGAUGAGUCCCCGAAGCCUGCAACUACCCCAGGAGAAUGCAUUUUGCUAAAAGCCUGGACAGCACAGAGAAAAUGAUAAAAAGGACCUCAUUGGGCAGAUAAAAUACCAGUGGUAGAGGGGCCAGAGGCAGAGGAAAUUGAAAGAAAAUGGAAGAAAUGAGAGAGAAAUUACGGCACCGGCAAUAUUCAAGUGUAUUCCCCAGGAGAGCAAAAAUGACAUGAAUUUUUAGGACAAAAUAGUAACACUAAAAAGUGCUGAGUCAUCCCUGCCUGUUGCUUUUGAUUUCUGGCUUGGACCAGGAGGGGCCUUGGACUUCUUGCCUCUGGGUGUGUCUGCAAUGGUGUCUCUAGAAACACUUAGAUCCUGAUGGCUCUGACACACUCAGCAGGCUGAUUCCUCAAUGGACUCAAUACAAUGGCAUGCUUAGGAGGGGGUGACAGGUGCGGAGAGGAGCCACAGAGGGAGCAGACAUCUGGGGACACCUCCUUGGCGCUAUCUGUUACAACAGUGGUCUUCCGUCCUAACCCCCUUUCUUGGCUCCCUGGCCAUCCUGGUUGAACUGUCCCGAUGCGCCGUGUGGUCCCUACCACUGUGGGCUGACGUUUAUGAAAACGGAAACCAGGACACGCCAGGCCCCCAUGGCCACUCAGCUCAAGGUGGGGAGUGACUAAGAGGGAGACCUUCUCCACAGGAGUCAGGAUCUGCAUGGGCAGGAAGCAGGGGCACCUCUGGGAGCCAGGUGAGGAGCCCCUAGGGAGGUUUGCAUGUAUUGUACAGUGAUGGUGACAUUUUUUUGUGUGUGGAUAAAUGCUUCCAUUUGAUUAUGCCAAGUAAAGUAUAAUCCGAGAGCCA
Mesocricetus auratus (golden hamster) is the source of this 2104-nucleotide long non-coding RNA. RefSeq lists it as uncharacterized. The record is from RefSeq and is a predicted model, not a curated record. NCBI's taxonomy places the organism in Eukaryota, Metazoa, Chordata, Mammalia, Rodentia, Cricetidae. The transcript has 2 exons.